AUUGAACGCUGGCGGAAUGCUUUACACAUGCAAGUCGAACGGCAGCACGGACUUCGAUCUGGUGGCGAGUGGCGAACGGGUGAGUAAUGUAUCGGAACGUGCCCAGUCGUGGGGGAUAACGUAGUGAAGAUUACGCUAAUACCGCAUACGAUCUAUGGAUGAAAGCGGGGGAUCGCAAGACCUCGCGCGAUUGGAGCGGCCGAUAUCAGAUUAGGUAGUUGGUGGGGUAAAGGCCCACCAAGCCAACGAUCUGUAGCUGGUCUGAGAGGACGACCAGCCACACUGGAACUGAGACACGGUCCAGACUCCUACGGGAGGCAGCAGUGGGGAAUUCUGGACAAUGGGCGAAAGCCUGAUCCAGCCAUUCCGCGUGCAGGAUGAAGGCCCUCGGGUUGUAAACUGCUUUUGUACAGAACGAAAAGGUUUCUACUAAUACUAGGAGCUCAUGACGGUACUGUAAGAAUAAGCACCGGCUAACUACGUGCCAGCCGCCGGGGUAA
Molecule: ribosomal RNA, 500 nt
Filed under: uncultured bacterium
Lineage: Bacteria
Description: partial 16S ribosomal RNA
Rfam family: Bacterial small subunit ribosomal RNA
Source: RNAcentral